GAUGAACGCUGGCGGCGUGCCUAAUACAUGCAAGUCGAGCGAACGGACGAGAAGCUUGCUUCUCUGAUGUUAGCGGCGGACGGGUGAGUAACACGUGGAUAACCUACCUAUAAGACUGGGAUAACUUCGGGAAACCGGAGCUAAUACCGGAUGAUAUUUUGAACCGCAUGGUUCAAAAGUGAAAGACGGUCUUGCUGUCACUUAUAGCUGGAUCCGCGCUGCAUUAGCUAGUUGGUAAGGUAACGGCUUACCAAGGCAACGAUGCAUAGCCGACCUGAGAGGGUGAUCGGCCACACUGGAACUGAGACACGGUCCAGACUCCGACGGGAGGCAGCAGUAGGGAAUCUUCCGCGAUGGGCGAGAGCCUGACGGAGCAACGCCGCGGGAGUGAUGAAGGUCUUCGGAUCGUAAAACGCUGUUAUUAGGGAAGAACAUAUGUGUAAGUAACUGUGCACAUCUUGACGGUACCUAAUCAGAAAGCCACGGCUAACUACGUG
This 497-nucleotide ribosomal RNA is filed under the name uncultured bacterium. RNAcentral describes it as "partial 16S ribosomal RNA". It matches the Rfam family "Bacterial small subunit ribosomal RNA", at positions 28 to 507 of the family's 1533-position model. The record is from RNAcentral.